RNAcentral lists this long non-coding RNA (214 nucleotides) under Helianthus annuus (common sunflower). Its description in RNAcentral is "sRNA HanXRQr2_Chr08g0332681". Lineage: Eukaryota; Viridiplantae; Streptophyta; Magnoliopsida; Asterales; Asteraceae. The record is from RNAcentral.
AUGGCAAAGGAAUUGAAUCUUCAAGCGGACGAGCCGGAGUUGAUGCGCGCUUGAAGGAAAAGCACUAAAGGUAAUGCUCGUUUCAUUGUGGAUGUCGAUCAAGCAAGGAAAUCAAGAACCGAACACAAGUUUUGAAUGCUUUCGCGAUAAUCUUAUCUAGUUCAAACCAUGUUGUUUUGUAAACACUUCUAAACGUUGAAUAUUUUAAUCUAGU